Molecule: long non-coding RNA, 5818 nt
Organism: Gasterosteus aculeatus aculeatus (three-spined stickleback)
Lineage: Eukaryota; Metazoa; Chordata; Actinopteri; Perciformes; Gasterosteidae
Source: Ensembl
UCUAUUCCACUUCAUCUAUUCCACUUCAUCUAUUCCACUUCAUCUGAUCCACUUCAUCUGAUCCACUUCGUCUAUUCCACUUCAUCUGAUCCACUUCAUCUGAUCCACUUCAUCUAUUCCACUUCAUCUGAUCCACUUCAUCUGAUCCACUUCAUCUGAUCCACUUCAUCAAAUGGGUUUUGUUAUUGCUUUAAUUGUUUUCUUUGUUUUCUGUUAUUUUUUUAAACAAAAACUGCUCUGGCCUUCACUCACGAAUAAACACACACAGACACACACAGACACACACACACACACACACACACACACACACCACACACACACACACACACACACACACACAGGUUAAAGAGCAUCUUUGUAAUGACACUGGCCUGUAUCUCAUGGGAAAUCAACAUUAGGCUGAGUGAAGACUGUGGUAUGACGCACUUUGUAGUCUGACACACAAAAACACACACACACACACACACACACACACACACACACACACACACACACACAAACACACAUACAUGCACUCACACAUUAACAUUAAGAAUGGGCUUAUUUUCAAACACAAUGCAACGAAAUACCUCCAUUCUGAUGCAUUCAUUUAGUACAAACUUACCUGCUCACACACACACACACACACGCACACGCACACGCACACACAUCAACCAUGUCGGUAGUCUGAGCGUGUGUGUGAGAGAAACUUAGUUGCUCAUGUUACACUGAAGCCUUUUAUCUGUGACCCAGAGAGCAUCGGAGCAUCGGAGCAUCGUCCCGGCAACAGACGUGAAGAUGACAUGAUGACAGCGCACUUUGUGUGUGUGUAUGUGUGUGUGUGUGUGUGUGUGUGUGUGUGUGUGAGCCAGAUAGAGACAGGUGGACUUUCAAACAUUCAAACAAACUCCUGUUACACUCGAUUCUCUGCAACAAGCUGAUUUCCUUUAAAGCAGAAACAGAAAUCCUAUUUCUUUCAUCGAGGUCAUUGGUCACAUCACCGUUUUAAUUCAUUUUUAAUCACCCAGGGUUUCAAAUCGGGUUUGAAUACAUGUAGCGAUGUUAGUUAACAACCGGAUCCGCUUCAAGUCCAAACAAUGAUGUCAGCCAGUAGACAGGUUGGAAUGCGAGUUUAAUGCUUUAAUCAGGACCGUCCUGUGGUGCCGGACAUAUGAGGACAUGUUGGGAAACCCGUUGUUCUGUUUUCCUGGACGGUGAGCCGUCUGCAAAACUUACCGUAUGUUUGUUCACCUCUGACGUCACGGGAAACCAGCCGAUUGGGGCAGAUUUCAACCUCGGCACCGCGAAACCCGGGAAGCCUCGGUGCGUUUAUGGACACUUAACGCCUCCGUAUUUGGGAUCAAGCUUUCUGUUUGGCUUUCGCUUCCCUGCUCGGAGCCACGGACACGAGCGGCGAGCGGGAGACCUUCCCGCUGCUUCUCAACAAGAAACACGUGAACGCUUUAACCAAAGAGGCACACUGCAUUGAUCCCCGUGACUCAUUCACUGGGGCCGUGUUUGACCUUUGACCUGCAUCGAAGCAGCAGGAGGCUACUGUCCCCGUGGAGACGUAGUGGUCCAGUCCAAUGGCGUCCUGCAGCCCACCUUCCACCUCUGUGCGUGUGCUGUGACCACUGCAUGCACGGCGAGGACGUCAGCACUGCAUCGGGUUCUUUCCACUCUUUUUUAUUACUCAGCGUGACCUUUGCGAAAGACAGAAGUGCAGUGGACGUUCACGCGGGAUUCGUGUUCGUUAGUCACGGGCGGCUCGGCCUCUCAACAGCCGGCGUAGGAGCACACGGAGGAAAAGCCCGUUUGCUUGUGCGGUUUGUUUGUUUUCAUGAUGGGAAGAGAACUGAAAGUGUUAAACAACCAUUUGAGCGGUGAGUCACGGCUGAAGUGAAAACCCAACGACGUGAAGACGUUAAUGCUGACUCGUUGGAUAUCAGCAGGAAAGCUGAUAAGACAAAUGAGAAAUAUCUUGUUCUACAAGAUGAUUUAUGUAUUUUUAACCUGCAGACAAAUACUCAUUUGAUGUGGUUCAACAUUCUGUCAUUUCAGCUGCAGGUAAAGUGAUAAUAACCACAUAGUUCUACCGAGUGAAACAUGAUAAUUCUUUGUUUUUAACCACAGAUGAAGCGUAUGUGGAGAGAGACGUUCUUCUUCCUCUUCGCACGGCCACACGGAGAGAGAAACUGAAAUGCACCAAUGUCACUGCUUUUGCUCUUAUUCUCAAAACCACAAUAUUCCUUAUUUACCUGAAUGAAUAUUCCCGUUAACGCGAGGCCGUGCACAUUCCCAAGACCCUAAAUAAACCAGUGACGUGUAUGUUCACCAGCUAAUUACCAGUUCACCAGCUACGUUACCAGUUCACCAGCUACUUCACCAGUUCACCAGCUACGUUACCAGUUAACCAGCUACGUUACCAGUUUACCAGCUACGUUACCAGUUAACCAGCUACAUUACCAGUUUACCAGCUACGUUACCAGUUCACCAGUUACUUUACCAGUUUACUGCUCUACACAUUAAAACAAUAUCAGAAUAUCCUAAAGCCAACGAACGGAGAAAAACGGUAAAGGAGCUUUAGUUUCUGACCAACACGCCGCCUCGGCGCUUUACCGAAUACACCGACCACAACAGAUGGGACCCCCCCUUCCCCCCGACACACACACACACACACACACAAGCUUUCCAACACAUGUUACCUCUUUUCGUCAGGGCGGCUUUAGACCCUUAUUGCCACAGUCAAUUAGUCCGUCUGACAGGACUAAUCAGCUCUCACACACACACACACACACACACACACACACACACACACACACACACACACACAAACACACACACAUCUAAACUACUCUUAUAUAAGACUUGUUGUGUGAACUAACAGAAUUCCCAAACUGUGUUGCGGUGUGCGUGUGUCUGUGUGUGUGUGUGUGUCUGUGUGUGUGUGUGUCUGUGUGUGUUGUCAGAAACAAGCUGUGAUGUCUUUUGUUUCUUUAUCCGUCACUUCACACGUACUCAACGUCUUUGUGGUGCACGUACGGAGGAACAGGAGGAAGUGGGAUUAUUGCAGCAAAAAAUGAGACGCACGUGUGACGGAGCAGCUAAUAAACUGCAUAUUAAUGUAAAAACAUGACAUGAAGUGAGGUGACACCCUUUUACUGCUGCAUUUUCUUUCUCAGCUAAAUGUUGAGUUUGAGUCAACAUGAAUGUCAGAAAAGUGAUUUUAGUUGAAUAUUACAUAAGCUAUUUAGUGGCUUUAAUUGUUAAUAUUCGUUGUUGUUGUUUUUUACAUGUGUGUGUGUGUUUCAAACAUCCCUGAAUCUUAUACUUCAGUAACAGCUUCACUCACGUAGCUCCAACGUUAUCAACGUGUCCUUUUAAACUCUGCAUAUGACUGUGAUGCGAAGUGUUUUCCUUCUGUACGUCUAGUAGCCGCAACAUCUGUACCUGCGCACGGAUCCGCCCCGAGCAGAUGCGUCACGCGUGAACUAGUGCUGCUCUCAGGUGACGACGCCGUCAGCGCCGUCGGGCUCCUCUGCCUCGGUUUGCAGCGAGGAGAGAAAAAGCUUUUAACAAGCAACACUGAAAUCGAUCCCCCAAACCUCACAGGUCGAAUACUGUCACUUAACAGCAGCCGUACGGAAUGUGGAAGCCACUACAGGUGAAUAAAACACCUAAAUGAUGAUUUUGGACAUUUCCUCUCCUCUAGUCUGAAUGGAAACAGAAGAAAACAUAUGUGCUUAUUAGCUUUUGCUAUUUGCCUUCAUUCCUUUUGAUUAUUUUCUUUUUGUUGUUGUUGUUCCAUCCCAAAGCCAGUGUACAUUUGUUAAUGCAGACUUCAGUAUGCAGCACGGGGUCCAACCCCUAAAGCCAAGCCCACCACAUGUGGACAUAAGCCCCCCCCCCCCACCCCCCCAUCCAAUUAUUGCAGAGUUCCCUGAUGAAAUGCAGGCUGAUUUGCAUGAAGGGAUUGUAUUCAUAUUCAUACGCACAAUGCUGCAGUUCAGCCGCACCGAGCUGCUUCUAAUCAGCUUCAGCAGCCACGGCCUGUAAAGUGGUUUGUUUCCAGUCAGAGGGCUCAGUCAGCACCGAGACCACACACACACACACACACACACACACACACACGCAGCAAUCUGACUUCCUCUCUUCAGGCCACUGUCUCUCUCUGCUUUCUGAGCGUCUGACUGAUCGAGAGAAAACGUUCACUUUCAACACACUUUUCACUUUCGUCUUUCUGCUGGCGGCUGGAGGAGAAGAAUCAAGGGGAGAGACGGGAUGGUCCUGCUUCAUUUAAUCCCCUCCACGUUUUACCUACCGCACCCCUUACACGCAUUCACAUGUCGUCGCAGCCGUGAAGCGAAAAGGGGGGUGAAAGGGUGACUGAAAGCUUGACAUCUUCUCGAGUUUGGACGGAGACAAACAGUCGUUGUCACGAUACAAAGUCCGCGCAGACACGCCGCGUCAGCAGAAUAUACUCUGCUGUUUGGCUCUUAAUCCGAUCCAGAAAUGCAGAACUCCUGCAAGGUUUGCCAGCUUGGCACAGAAAGUCGGACUACGAUCGGCUUUACGGUGAAUAGUGUUCCGUUAAAUCAUCUCUCAGCGAGGUCGGAUCCACAGACGCAUUGCACGGUUCCUAGUGUGUAAGAUAACUUUCAGAGCGCAUGUCGUUAUUCAUUCUAGAAACGUGGCAUCAGAUAAAAAUGAAGACCCUCCCACGUUUGACCGUGUUGUUUUUGAGGGCCUCUGUGUUUCUACUCAUGAAUAAAAAGAGCUGAACGUAAAGAACCGAGCGGCAUCAACACAACUCGCCAGUUAUGAUCAGGAGGAAGAAAAGAGAAAGUAACACAACAUGUUUGUGUUGAUUCUGUUGAUGUUUUCUGUUCAGGGGCUGCACGCAAGAAGCCUCCAGGUGGUCGAAGCUUGUCACAACCAAACUUCACCUUUAUGAUUUGAACCAAAUUUCAUUUAUUGUGACUUUCUGUCCGCACUCUUGGAAAGCUGUGUGAUGAAUUACAUCCGAGAGCGAUUUGUGUGCUUUCAGGGAGUGAAAUCUAAACUCAUUAAAGUCAAUUCAACAAAAAAAUAUGUGUACUCUAAUUUUUUUUUUUUUACUCAAAACUGAUGAGGCCUUUAAACUCAAUCUGUCCAUUGGUGCGCUGUGGGAAACGUGUUAAAGCGAUUCAAAGAGACGAUUUAUUAGGAUUACAAAACCUACAAAUAAUACUCUUAAAAGGCACCAGACUCCAGUCGGAUAUCCGUCAAAAUACACUUCACUCAAAUGUUCCACUCUGCCAACAAUCAUACAUCUGGUUUGAGAGUUUGAAGGAGGAUCAUAAGUUACUAAACGUUUCCACAGUUCAGUAAAAACAAAAACAAGUCCAGCGCGUCACUUUCAGGGGCUUUUCCAGAAGUUUAAGAUAUUUCUGUAAUUUUACAGACUUCUCUUCCUGAAAAAACAGUCAUGCAGGCGCAUGGUUCCCAACCAGUGGGUCAGGGGCCCCGCGGGGGCCUUGAGGAUGGUCGCGGCGGGCCCCUGGAAGGAGCCACCCCAGAAAUUUGUGUGACUUGAUCGCAGGUUUCACUUCCUCCGCGACGAUCUGUUUAUUAACCACGAAGAUGGAAAUCGUAUGUAACGAGAGACGUGAGUCCGGCUCCGCGUCCUCGACUAAAUGAAGGCGACUUCUGACGGGGGGGCGGGGGGCGCUACCACUACGGCCCGCUGAGCGUUGUGCUCAACAUACGCUUCGCAAAAGGAAGGAAACACUUUCUGCUGUAUAUUGGGGGGGGACAGAUUGAUAUUUUCUCAUUAUUGGGGGACACACCGACCCCCUCC